UUUUUGUCAUCCUUUUUUCCUUUUUUUUUAUAAUAACUGAAAGAAUUUUUUAUUCCGUAGUGACCAGUCUUAGUUUCCCGUUUUAUAUAUUCUUUUCAUUAAAUGAUACUAUUAGAUUAGUCAUAUAAAAUCAAAUAAAUCAACUAAUUUCCUUUUCUAUAUCGAUGACAUUUAUUAAGAGAAUUGAUUCAUCUUUUUUUCCUCUUCAUGUUUUUUGCUAGAACACUGAUUUGUAACAGAAUUCCAACAAAUUCGACCGUACUCUCUUUUUCUAUUGUCAAUAUAUCUCUUACGUUUUACUGUUGGGUUCUAAUACUAUCUCAUAUGCUAUUUUCUACCAAUUAUUUUUGUUGUCUGUAUUUUUAAACUAAAAACAUACAUGAGGUUUAUUGUUGGGUUCUAAUACUAUCUCUUCCACUCUCUCCUAC
Molecule: long non-coding RNA, 428 nt
Filed under: Brassica napus (rape)
Lineage: Eukaryota; Viridiplantae; Streptophyta; Magnoliopsida; Brassicales; Brassicaceae
Description: long non-coding RNA (BNAP_LNC000315)
Source: RNAcentral